CCUGGUUGAUCCCUCCAGUAGUCAUAUUCUUGUCUCAAAAAUUAGGCUAUGCAUGUCUAAGUAUGAACUAAUUCAGACAAUGAAACUAUGGAUGGCUCAUUAAAUCAAUUAUAGUUUCUUUUAUGGUACCAUACUACUCAGAUAACCAUAGUAAUUCUAGAGCUAAUACAUGCACCAAGUCCUGACUCUUUGGAAGGGAUGAAUUUUUCUGAUAAAAAGCCAGUGCAGGCUUUCCUACUUCUCCAGUCCUUGUGUUCACGAUGCUUCAUUCAAAUUAAUGGCCUCUCAACUUUUGAUGGUAGGAUAGAGGCCUACCAUGGUGGUGAUGGGUGACAGUGAAUUAGGGUUCGAUUUCAGAGAGGGAACCUGAGAAACAACUACCACGUCCAAGGAAGGUAGCAGGCGUGCAAAUUACCCAAUCUUGAAAUAGGGAGGUAGUGACAAUAAAUAACAAUACUGGGCUCAUCGAGUAUGGUAAUUGGAAUGAGUACAAUCUAAAUCCCUUAACGAGGAUCCAUUGGAGGGAAAGUAUGGUGCCAGUAGCCACGGUAAUUCCAGCUCCAAUAUCCUAUAUUUAAGUUGUUGUAGUUAAAAAUAUAAAAGUUGGAUCUAGGGUCACAAAGGUCGGUCCACCUACUCAGUGUGCACCUGUCCUUCCAUCCCUUUUGUCGGCGGCAUUCUCCUAGCCUUAAUUGGCUGGGUCAUGGCUCCGACAUUGUUAGUUUGAAAAAAUUAGAGUGCUCAAAGCAUGCUUAUGCUCUAAGUACAUUAGCAUGGAAUAACGUGAUAGGAGUAUGGUCCUAUUGUGUUAGCCUUUUGCACCAAAGUAAUGAUUAAUAGGGACUUGCGGGGCAUUCAUAUUUCAUUGUCAUAGGUGAAAUUCUUGGAUUUAUUAAAGACGGACCACUGCAAAAUCAUUUUCCAAGGAUGUUUUCAUUAAUCCAGAAUGAAAUUUGGGGGCUCAAAGACAAUCAGAUACCAUCCUAGUCUCAACCAUAAACGAUGCCAACUAGGGAUCGAUGAAUGUUGCUCUAAGGACUUCGCCAGCACCUUCUGAGAAAUUAGAGUGUUUGGGUUAUGGGGGGAGUAUGGUCGCAAGGCUGAAACUUAAAGAAAUUGGCAAAAGGGCCCCACCAGGAGUGGAGCCUCUGGCUUAAUUUGAAUCAACACGGGGAAACUUACCGGGUCCAGACAUAGUAAUGAUUGACAUAUUAAGAGCUCUUUCUUGAUUCUAUGGGUGGUGGUGCAUGGCCAUUCUUAGUUAGUGGAGAGAUUUGUUUGGUUAAUUUUGAUAAUGAACAAGACCUGAACCUGCUAACUAGCUAUGUUGAGUUUCCCCUUUAUGGCCAACUUCUUAGAGGGACAAUGGUCAUUUUGGGCAUGGAAGUUUGAGGAAAUAAUAGGUCUAUGAAGCCCUUUUAUGUUCUAGGCCGCACGUGCAUUACACUGAUGUAGCCAAUGCAUUUUUCUUCCUAGUUCAGGAGGAUCAAGAAAUAUUCUCAAAUUACAUCAUGAUGGGGAUAGAACAUUUAUAUUAUUGGUCUUCAACAAGGAAUUCCUAGUAAAUGCAUGUCAUCAUCUCGUGUUGACUAUGUCCAUGCACUUUGUACACACUACCCGUCACUCCUACUGAUUGAAUGAUCUGAUGAAGUGUUUGGAUUGCGUCAAUGAUGGAAGUUUGUCGUGGUCGACCACAUGAGAAGUUUAUUGGACCUUAUCAUUUAGAGGAAGGAGAAACCGUAACAAGGUUAUCGUAGGUGAACCUGCAAUUG
This 1772-nucleotide ribosomal RNA is filed under the name Pinus taeda (loblolly pine). RNAcentral's name for it is "SSU rRNA". It matches the Rfam family "Eukaryotic small subunit ribosomal RNA". The record is from RNAcentral. Lineage: Eukaryota; Viridiplantae; Streptophyta; Pinopsida; Pinales; Pinaceae.